UGUCAGCUCGGUGUGCACACACACAAGUUAGCGAGGGAUGGAUAGGAAAUGUCCUUCCUCUAGAACACAGCGUCCAGCAGUGACGAACAGGUCUGCAAGAGCCAUAACCUCUCCCGCUGGUACCAGCCAGGCACGCUGAUGGCCAAGUCCCACGCUUGGAAAAUCCCACGUUUUUUAUGCUACCAGCGGGAGCCAAACACGCAGCCCAAAUAAAAGCGGCCGAGUUAAUGAACCCCGCGGCAGGAAUUGCCGGAGCCAGGGCAGAGCCAGGGCUGGAGCCCGGCAUCCCGAAGGACCUUCACCCCAAUGCCACGGGAGCAGCGGGAGCUGCGUGAAAACAAACUGGCUCGUAAACACGGAUUUACACACGCAACGCCACAGCCGCACACAGCUCUGCACAGAAAUCCCUGCCCAGGGCUCCUAAAUCCAGCAGCCCCUACGCACGGGUUCUGCAUUUCGCCAGAGAGCACAGGAUGUGCUUGCUCAGGGCGCUAUAUGUGUUUUAUUUAGCGUUGUGAUGGGAAGCGGAUUUCAGGGCUAGUCAGGCACUCCAGGGCUCGCUGGGGUUGUUUUGGGGUUUUUUUUUCGCUCCAUCUUCCAGUCCGUGAGGCUGCGGGGCUCUGCCCCAGGGGCAUGCGGGGGGCACCUACCAGUCCGUGUGCGGCUCGUCGAUGACAAGGAGCAGCUUGAACUUUCUGCCGACAGCCGCGGAGACGGCGGCGGACGCGUCCACCAG
Taeniopygia guttata (zebra finch) is the source of this 736-nucleotide non-coding RNA. Lineage: Eukaryota; Metazoa; Chordata; Aves; Passeriformes; Estrildidae. The record is from RefSeq and is a predicted model, not a curated record.